UAGGGAAUCUUCGGCAAUGGACGAAAGUCUGACCGAGCAACGCCGCGUGAGUGAAGAAGGUUUUCGGAUCGUAAAACUCUGUUGUUAGAGAAGAACAAGGACGUUAGUAACUGAACGUCCCCUGACGGUAUCUAACCAGAAAGCCACGGCUAACUACGUGCCAGCAGCCGCGGUAAUACGUAGGUGGCAAGCGUUGUCCGGAUUUAUUGGGCGUAAAGCGAGCGCAGGCGGUUUCUUAAGUCUGAUGUGAAAGCCCCCGGCUCAACCGGGGAGGGUCAUUGGAAACUGGGAGACUUGAGUGCAGAAGAGGAGAGUGGAAUUCCAUGUGUAGCGGUGAAAUGCGUAGAUAUUUGGAGGAACACCAGUGGCGAAGGCGGCUCUCUGGUCUGUAACUGACGCUGAGGCUCGAAAGCGUGGGGAGCAAACAGG
RNAcentral lists this ribosomal RNA (429 nucleotides) under Chloroflexota bacterium. RNAcentral describes it as "Chloroflexi bacterium partial 16S ribosomal RNA". It matches the Rfam family "Bacterial small subunit ribosomal RNA", at positions 355 to 776 of the family's 1533-position model. The record is from RNAcentral. RNAcentral also lists the same sequence under 1 other name. Lineage: Bacteria; Bacillati; Chloroflexota.